Molecule: long non-coding RNA, 270 nt
Filed under: Gossypium barbadense (sea-island cotton)
Lineage: Eukaryota; Viridiplantae; Streptophyta; Magnoliopsida; Malvales; Malvaceae
Description: long non-coding RNA (GBAR_LNC010120)
Source: RNAcentral
CAUUUUCAUCACCCCAUAAUCAUCAUCAAAAUAUAUACACUAUUAAUACCUGAAACUUUAGACAUAUUGGUUUGUUUGGAAGAAAGUAGCAUGAGAAUCACAUUUGUAAGCUAAAAUCCAAACCAAAAUAACAAGAAUAUAGACUAGGAAUAAAGAGAUUAUCUUGAUAUGAAGCACUUCAUUAAGAGGCUUAUGAAUGCUACAGCUGAGAACAGGGGGCAUGCUAAUAAACAAUCGAAUUGCAUGAACCAAACCUUAAUUUCAUGCACC